RNAcentral lists this ribosomal RNA (255 nucleotides) under uncultured bacterium. RNAcentral describes it as "partial 16S ribosomal RNA". It matches the Rfam family "Bacterial small subunit ribosomal RNA", at positions 524 to 776 of the family's 1533-position model. The record is from RNAcentral.
UACGUAGGGGGGCAAGCGUUGUCCGGAUUUAUUGGGCGUAAAGAGCUCGUAGGCGGCUCAGUAAGUCGGGUGUGAAAGCCCCGAGCUCAACUCGGGGAGGCCACCCGAUACUGCUGUGGCUAGAGUCCGGUAGGGGAGCGUGGAAUUCCCGGUGUAGCGGUGAAAUGCGCAGAUAUCGGGAGGAACACCAAUGGCGAAGGCAGCUCGCUGGGACGGUACUGACGCUGAGACGCGAAAGCGUGGGGAGCAAACAGG